CAAAAAUCAUAAUGGGCUAUUGGGAAAACAAAGAAUCUUAUUCUUGGAUUAAAUUUUCAGAAACCAGCCAUCAGGAAUUGGGGCUUCCGAAUGCUUAUCUGCCAUAUUUGAGAAUGAUUCUUUCCUUAAAAAAUGCUCUCAGAAAUCUCUCCUUUCUAUUUCCUCUCUGUUUGAGGGUCCUAAUCCUAAAUUUUCAGAGGCAACAAGGCAUUAAUGGGACAGUUCUAACCCUAAACUUUUUACUUUCUUUCUACUUCCUCUCUAUAACAUCAAAAAUCAUAAUGGGUUAUUGGGAAAACAAAGAAUCUUACCCUUGGAUUAAAUUUUUAUUAGAUUUGAACAAAUCUCCAUUGAAGAUGCACAGCAUCACAUGCUAUUAUGAGCAGAGAUGAUACUGAAUGCGUUUGAACCUUUGAACCGUAACAUAAGAGAAGGGGGGGUGUGUUGAGGAUGUGGAUGGAAAAAGUUACCAAUGUUUAGUCGAGAAUCAUGGUAAAAGGCCUGUUGUAUAAACUUUAUAUGUUGAAUCCAAAUUCCUAGGCUAUGGUAUGAAUUAUGUUGCCUCUAUAAUGAUGAGGAUAAUGGGGGUGACAAUGUACAUACAGAGCAGUUUGGUAAUCAGAGUUCAAAACUUGUUUACUGGAAAUAGGGUAUAAUAUAUGUUUGGUUCGAUUUUGUAACAAGAGCAUGCAAAUUCCAUUCUGGUUUCCUUUUGUGUAUGUACAUUUUGUGAGACUGCAACAACAAGAAUCGAAGAUUACAUAUUUGUAGGAAAAUGGAAAAUAAAUUUUCUUGAAUUUCUAAAGAACUGAAAUUGCUGAAUAAUUUUUGGAACAUUAUUUAAUGUAGGGCUGGAAAUCAAUGAGAGGCCGCAGAAGCAUCCGUCACUGGAUUUUGAGAACCUGUCAAUGUCUGAUUCAGCUGCAAAGGGUAAAAAAACGUUGCUCUUAUUUCUCUAGUAUUGUCUUUUAUGCAUAUGUGUGUGUACAAACACAGCCUUUUUGUUUUUUCUGUUUGAUAGUAAUAAUUUUUUGUUGUGGUGAACAAAGAAUUAUGAGUUGUUCGAUAAUUUGAUGUUAUAAUUAGACUAUAUUGCUAAUGAGUUAUGAUUUGGUAAGUCACCAGCCUUUUGGAGGAUAAGUAUGCAGAAUCUGAUUAGCUGGUGAUAUCAAAGGUUUCAUUUAUUAGCAAUCUACUUUGUUGCUUUUUUUCUUCUUUUUCCAUUUAUGGUUGUUUGCACUCACCUAGUGAAGGAAUUUGUAGUUUUGCAGAUUUCAUAAGUAGAUGGAAAGUUUUAGAAGCCCUGGAAUAUUCAGUGCUGAUUUCUUAUAUUUAUAAUGCAGCAGAAGAAUCGAAGACCAAGAAGGUUUUUGUACAGCAUGUAGAGACAGUAAGCAGCUUUGACACCACUGUUGAUGUUGUGAAAUCAUUUGUGGUGAAUAUGGCAGUCCCCUGUUGAUUUUGUUCUAUAACUCUUCUUGUUUUAUAAGCUGUUUCACACGAGCAUGUGUUGAGGAGUACCAUGUAAGAUGCUGUCUUUGAUUCUCAUGUUGCUACUACUAAGAACUUGGGGAAAUUGUCUAAUUGUUUCUUUUAGGACCUUAAUUCUGAUGGUGUGUGUGUGUGAUCAUAAAACAAGGAGUGAAGAACGCAACCUUACUUUUAAAUAGGAGAAUGUAUGCUCUACGUCUCCUUCUCCUCCAGGUCUUACACACUUUAUUACAACUUUGCUUCUAUUUACAAGCCUAAGAUGACAUGAACUUGUACUUUCAUCACCAUUGUAACAGCGGAAACAAGAUCAGAUAAUGUCUAAAGCCAGACAGACACAGGAGGUACGUGGCAUAGUAUAAGUUAGCUGUAUUAAUUAACCCACCAAGUAAAGUAUUGUUAUCUCUUGUUCAUGUGCUUCCAAUAGUAUGAUUUGUUAUUUCAUCUCGUAGAGAAUAAUGAUGCAUUAAACUUUUUCAUGCUCUGCCUUCUUUUUGUUUUGCUUAUCGUCCAUUUGUUCUUAGUUCAAUAUUUUGCUUGUGAUAAUAAUCAUUGUCAGGCAGUGAGUUGCUAAGAAUUUGUGUCAAAUUGAGAUUAUGCAACUCCAAAUUUUAUACUAGUUCGCAUGAAAUUUUUUUAUUGAUUCAUCUUCUAACAACCAUGGAGUACUCUAAAUUUUGUCUAUUUCGAAACCAUUAUUUAGGAUAAAUUCAAAUCUCCCUUACAUGCAUCUAGUUAGAUAUCUUUCUAUUAUGUCAGAUUGCCCAACUUUCUGAUUGAUUGUUAAGAGGUUCAGAGUUUAGAUUGAUAUUCUGAGGCAGUUGUUCUACUACUACCUUAUACAUUGAGAAAAAGAAAUAAGAACCACAUGCUACGCAUUGAUACCAUUUAAGUGUAGGAAACAAGUUUUGAUAGAUCACUUGAUGCCAGAUUGGUGGACAUUAGAGGUAAUCUCAAAAUAAGUUUCUCAGAGUGGGCAAAUGUUUUCUUUUUUGGGUUGUUUUAUUAUUUAAAGCAGACUGCUAUAUGUUUGAUGAUAAGACAAAAAUGGUCCUCUUUUGUUAAACUGAGUAUUCUAGUAUGUAUUCGGCGAAAAUUGUUCUGGGUACUAUCUUAUUUUGAGUUCUUUCUGUUAGGUUGUCGCAAAAAAUGCACGUUUUGAACAAAGAUGGAGGAGCAGAAAGGGAGACAAAGGAACAUCACAUGAGAAAUUACAUGAAAUGUGUCAUUUCUUUGAUGUUAUUCUUGUUGACGUCGAGGAAAGAUCUAAUGAGUUGCGACAGGAGGAGUUAGUUCUCAACAUGAGCUCUUGCCCUUUCGUAUUUCCUAGAGUCUAGUUGAAAAUGAUACUCCCUAUGAUUUUAAUGCAGUGAGAUAUCUUUGGAGGGCCAGAGGAUGUUGAAUAGUUACUUACCUCUACUGAGAGAGUUCAUUCCAAGUGCUACUUCGGAGAUUGAAUCAGAUUUAUCUGCUAACAGCACCAAACAAGGUUGUUUUUUCACAUGUAAUUGACUAGUCUUUGUUAUGUCUGUAUAUAAAAAUGGGGUUGGUGGCUUUUGCAACCCAGUUCAUAUAUCAUUGCUCUGGUCUAUUAUUUGGGGAAAUUGACUUAUAGUAUCAAUGUAGUAUCCCUGGAUCAGCAUCUUUCUUUUGAACCUAAAUGGAGCUCUUUGCAUAGUUAUUGUAAUCAGGUUGAAUUUAACAAAUUACUCACCAUGGUGAUAUGAAGCAAAAGCACGCCAUGAUCUGUUGGAUUUGAAGUAUGCUUACCUGAGCCUCCUACAAUAUCAUGUGAUAAUUUGUCUGCAUUGGCUCUUAGUUCUAAUCCUAUAUAUCACUCACGCAUCAAGCACCUCGACAUUGAUUUCCAUUUCGUGCGCGAAAGGGUGCAAAGGAAUGAUCUUACUGUCCAGUAUAUUCCUACUGAAGAACAAGUAGCUGAUGUCUUUACUAAAGGACUACAUAGUCCUGUUUUCUUGAGUCAUUGUGCAAACAUGAGGCUGGGCAACCUAGAGCUGGGUUUGAGGGGGAAUGAUAACAGUAAUAGUUAGCUAAGAGUUUGUUAGUGUUGGCACGUGUGGCUCACAUGUCACAGCUGUAAUUAGUUAGUCUGUUAAGCGUUAGUUAUAGGCUAAACAUCUUAUAUAAAACACAAUCUCUCUGUAAUUGUUCAUACGAUUGAAAAUCAAAGAAAG
RNAcentral lists this long non-coding RNA (3683 nucleotides) under Prunus dulcis (almond). RNAcentral's name for it is "sRNA ncRNA". The record is from RNAcentral. Lineage: Eukaryota; Viridiplantae; Streptophyta; Magnoliopsida; Rosales; Rosaceae.